Molecule: ribosomal RNA, 255 nt
Filed under: uncultured bacterium
Lineage: Bacteria
Description: partial 16S ribosomal RNA
Rfam family: Bacterial small subunit ribosomal RNA
Source: RNAcentral
UACGGAGGGGGCUAGCGUUGUUCGGAAUUACUGGGCGUAAAGCGCACGUAGGCGGCUUUGCAAGUUAGAGGUGAAAGCCCGGGGCUCAACUCCGGAAUUGCCUUUAAAACUGCAUCGCUAGAAUUGUGGAGAGGUAAGUGGAAUUCCGAGUGUAGAGGUGAAAUUCGUAGAUAUUACGGUAAGAACACCAGUGGCGAAGGCGACUUACUGGACACAUAUUGACGCUGAGGUGCGAAAGCGUGGGGAGCAAACAGG